GCAAGUCGAACGGAAAACACAAUAGCUUGCUAAUGUGUUUUCAGUGGCGGACGGGUUAGUAACACGUGAGCAACCUGCCCCGAAGCGGGGGAUAGCCUUCCGAAAGGGAGAUUAAUACCGCAUAUGGCCUACGGGUCAAAGGAGCCUUCGGGUUUCACUUCGGGAUGGGCUCGCGGCCUAUCAGCUAGUUGGUGAGGUAAAGGCUCACCAAGGCAACGACGGGUAGCUGGUCUGAGAGGAUGAUC
RNAcentral lists this ribosomal RNA (245 nucleotides) under uncultured bacterium. Its description in RNAcentral is "partial 16S ribosomal RNA". It matches the Rfam family "Bacterial small subunit ribosomal RNA", at positions 57 to 305 of the family's 1533-position model. The record is from RNAcentral.